CAUGAAUGACCUUAUUCCCAGUGUAAACAACGAGGAUGUGGUAUUAACACCCGGAAAAAAAUUAAAUCACGUAAAAACGAAGGCCUUGUUUGUAAGUAACAUUUUAUACACUAUUUUAUACGAUAUUUACACGAACAAAUGUGUGUGUGAAACCUUAUAUUUCGUGUCCGCCCACAACGUUGAGCGAUACGGUAAUACCACCUGCUAUUGAAUUCCCCUAUUUAUAACGAAUGAAUAUUCGACGAGUAAGGUUUCACAUUUUGAAAUAUCACAACAAAAAUAUAUUUUUUUUAUCAACUUCGCGUUAUAAGAUUAUUUUGUUGAUGUAACGAAAAUAAUUAGAUAUAAACAAAUGCAAAAGGCUACCGUGGACCAUAGAUGUAUAUUACAUCUAUGCGUGGACAGACUCAGUGGGACAGGCCAGGGACUAUGAUAUCUACACUAACUUAGUAUAGAAAGUCCCUGUGCAGGCUCAAGUCAGACUGGCCUGACACUACUUUAACACAUUGCUGCAUGCAAACAGAUAUUUCUCCCAAAGUAAAAAAUAAAUUAUCCAAGUAAUUGUUAUUUAUUUUCAGGAUCUGCCCAAUUAUCUAGUAUAGACAGUUAUGGCAGACUGUGGUUGGUUAUGGAGUAUAUUAUGGGCUAUAAUUUUACUGGUAUUUGGAUGGCCAAUUGGAUUUAUUUGUGCUAUAUUUUACUGUUUACUUAGUCCAUUUGCUGCAUGUUGUCAUGGAUGUAAUGAAUUAAUUAAUCUAUUAGAAAGAGGAGUAAAGUUACCACUGACUUGUUCUCAGAAUAUGGUGAAGGGAAAAUCUAUGUGUUGAUAAUACUGCAAUUAAUAGUAUGGGUUACAUAGACUGGUGCUUAAUUUGGACUCUUGUGCAAGUAUGUGAAAAAUGUGUAUGAAAGAUGGAUCCAAGUUUUAUAAUUAUUGCACUGAACAUGUAUAAUUGUCAAGGUAUUAAAGUUAUGCACUGGUAUGCAUGGUAUGUUGUGUUCAUAUGUUAAUGAAUAACUUGUUCAUAUUUACUGAUCUUUCUUAUGCUUGCCUUCAGUAAUUUUAAUCUCAAUUAACAUAAGAUCUCUUGUUAUUGUAGUUUUAUAUAUUUAUAAAUAUACUAUAAAUAAUGUAGUUUUUUAUACCAUAAACAUUUUAUGUUAAGAUUUAAUAAUUUCAUGUGUUUCAUGGUUGAAUUGUUACCUUCACAUUGUGUAUAUUCUAAUUCAAUAUUUAAAUAAACAGGGUCGCUAGAAUGAUUUCAGACUUGAGUAUUAGCAUACAAAAUAAAGACAUGAAUCAGCAUUUCCAAUGAUGUGCAUUAUGUAAAAUUGAGGAGAACAUUGUAUAUACAGGUGUCUAUUUAUCACAGAUUUUGUAUACAACUAUGAACAUUAGCUGAAACCAUUUUAUUAUUAUAUUUGCUAUUAAACUAUCUAGGGGGGUAGGGGGGGGGGGGCAAUACCUUUUUGUGUUAACCUGUUAUGGCCCUUUUCAAGAUGUUGUUAACUGUUGUCUGAGAUCAAUUUAAGCUAACUGUUUUCAUCCCACUUUGUUAACUGUUAUCAGCAUUUUUGCAUUUUUUGUUAUCUGUUUUUGCCAAAAUCGAGGUGUUGUUAACCCCUAUUGCCCCCCUCAUUUAUCUUUCAAGACUAUUUCCAAACUUAAGACCAUAAGAUUUUCUUGAAGAUUGAUGCGAUGCUACAUAAAUUUCAAUUUCAAUAAUGCAAAGCAUUUAAGUGUUCUCUUUUGAGCAUAUGUAUCACAAUGAUGUAUCCUUGGUGAAAAUUAACACAGAAUUAUAAUAUAUAUAUGGGAGUCAAAACCCGUUUCAGGGGAGUUAAGUUAAUGCGGUUAUGUACCUUUUAAAUUUUUUUCUAUAGUCACUUAUUUUGUUUUUGAUGAUGUAAUGAGAACAGAAACUAUAAAUUUAAAAUCACAUGGCUAAAAUAUAUUUUUCUAACGUUCUAAUUUUUUUUACUCAUUUUAUUUCGUUCCUUACAAAAUUUGUAAUACAAACAUAAUUUUUUUUAAAUAUUGAUUUCAUAAUAUCAUCAGAAUAUUAACCAAAUUCAAUAUUUUUUUUAGAAGUAUUUUGAGUUCAAAAUUAAUAGGGAGAAAUUAUAUAUAAAACCUUGCAAUAAGCUGUGACAUUACCUGUUUAUUGUAACUAAACAAGAAUAUACAUUGUAUUAAUGUUUAUUUUUAAAAUACAUUGAAAUUGUAAAUUGACAAGGUCAUAAGGUCUGCAGUAAGAUAUAUCCAUCAUCUCAGACACAUCCUGAAUCCAAGCUGACUAAUCUUUGCUCUCACUCCUAAAUGCUGCAUGCCAAGUGAAAAAGCAUCAAAUACCAAUGUUCAAGCCUAGCUUGACUCAUCUUAGGAUGAAAUAUAAAAAAGAAGAAGAUGUGAUAUGAUUGCCAAUGAAACAACUCUCCACAAGGAACCAAAUUAACAACAAAGCAGUUGAUUUUGACAUGAUAUACCUUAUAUAUUUAAGAGAUAUGGAAAUUUAUCUUCAGUCUGGAAUGCGCUGAAAUACUGUAAAAGCAGAAAUUUUUGUGGAGGAUUUAAUUACAUUUAUUUCAUGGAAAGAAUAUAUCCACGAAAUUAAAAAACCCAUGAAAAUUGAACCUACAUAUAAUAUCCAUUUUAAUUACUGGAAACCACAAAAUUAAAUCCCAAUGAAUUCUUAUAUAGAGACCAAACCAAGAAAUUUUAACCCCUCGAAAAUUAAUGUUUCUACAGUAGUUGUCACUUUAGUCAAAGUAUUGGGUAACCUUCAACAAAGGCUUGUGAACUCUUUAUACAAACUUCUUUAAAAGACCACUCAGCCACUGAUAAACUAUGAUGAAAAUAACCAAGUCACUGAAUAAUGAAUGAAAGUGACCUACUUUUAUGUGCUGGAAAUUGCUGCAAGAAUGCUCCUACAGGUAUAACAAAUAAUAUGAUUUGUUUAAAUAAAAUUUGUAUACUUAACCAUUGUCAAUGAAUCAUGAAAUGGUGGGAAGUUACCCUAAAUCUAAUUCUACAAUGUCAUAGCAUUGGAGGACAACUGAGAACUGACCUUGGACAUUGCCUAUCUACAAACUUGUACUAUCCUGUACAUUUAAACAAAAUGCUGCAUUGCAAUAUGCACUGAGCUGUUAUUUGCUCAUAUUCAUUCAUGUACUUACUUACAAUUAAGGUAAAGCUAGAAUUCACUUUUUUGUUGUAACAUUUAACACAAACACCAGAGAAC
This 3242-nucleotide long non-coding RNA is filed under the name Mytilus galloprovincialis (Mediterranean mussel). Lineage: Eukaryota; Metazoa; Mollusca; Bivalvia; Mytilida; Mytilidae. The record is from RNAcentral.